Molecule: ribosomal RNA, 1105 nt
Filed under: fungal sp.
Lineage: Eukaryota; Fungi
Description: eukaryotic LSU rRNA
Rfam family: Eukaryotic large subunit ribosomal RNA (bases 528-1105)
Source: RNAcentral
UUACCGAGUUUACAACUCCCAAACCCAAUGUGAACGUUACCAAACUGUUGCCUCGGCGGGAUCUCUGCCCCGGGUGCGUCGCAGCCCCGGACCAAGGCGCCCGCCGGAGGACCAACCAAAACUCUUUUGUAUACCCCCUCGCGGGUUUUUUAUAUCUGAGCCAUCUCGGCGCCUCUCGUAGGCGUUUCGAAAAUGAAUCAAAACUUUCAACAACGGAUCUCUUGGUUCUGGCAUCGAUGAAGAACGCAGCGAAAUGCGAUAAGUAAUGUGAAUUGCAGAAUUCAGUGAAUCAUCGAAUCUUUGAACGCACAUUGCGCCCGCCAGUAUUCUGGCGGGCAUGCCUGUCCGAGCGUCAUUUCAACCCUCGAACCCCUCCGGGGGGUCGGCGUUGGGGAUCGGCCCUUUACGGGGCCGGCCCCGAAAUACAGUGGCGGUCUCGCCGCAGCCUCUCCUGCGCAGUAGUUUGCACACUCGCAUCGGGAGCGCGGCGCGUCCAUUGCCGUAAAACACCCAACUUUCUGAAAUGUUGACCUCGGAUCAGGUAGGAAUACCCGCUGAACUUAAGCAUAUCAAUAAGCGGAGGAAAAGAAACCAACAGGGAUUGCCCCAGUAACGGCGAGUGAAGCGGCAACAGCUCAAAUUUGAAAUCUGGCCCCUCGGGGUCCGAGUUGUAAUUUGUAGAGGAUGCUUUUGGUGAGGUGCCGCCCGAGUUCCCUGGAACGGGACGCCACAGAGGGUGAGAGCCCCGUCUGGCUGGCCACCGAGCCUCUGUAAAGCUCCUUCGACGAGUCGAGUAGUUUGGGAAUGCUGCUCAAAAUGGGAGGUAUAUGUCUUCUAAAGCUAAAUAUUGGCCAGAGACCGAUAGCGCACAAGUAGAGUGAUCGAAAGAUGAAAAGCACCUUGAAAAGAGGGUUAAAUAGUACGUGAAAUUGUUGAAAGGGAAGCGCUUGUGACCAGACUUGGGCGCGGCGGAUCAUCCGGGGUUCUCUCCGGUGCACUUCGCCGCGUCUAGGCCAGCAUCAGUUCGUCGCGGGGGAAAAAGGUUUCGGGAACGUGGCUCCUCCGGGAGUGUUAUAGCCCGUUGCAUAAUACCCUGCGGUGGACU